Molecule: transfer RNA, 69 nt
Filed under: Notophthalmus meridionalis (black-spotted newt)
Lineage: Eukaryota; Metazoa; Chordata; Amphibia; Caudata; Salamandridae
Also listed under: 1 other name
Description: tRNA-Trp
Rfam family: tRNA
About the family: Transfer RNA (tRNA) molecules are approximately 80 nucleotides in length. Their secondary structure includes four short double-helical elements and three loops (D, anti-codon, and T loops).
Source: RNAcentral
AAAGACUUAGGAUAAUGAGACCAAAGACCUUCAAAGUCUUAAGCAGGAGUUAAAACCUUCUAGUCUUUG